This 557-nucleotide long non-coding RNA is filed under the name Pan troglodytes (chimpanzee). RNAcentral describes it as "long non-coding RNA NONPTRT018376". Lineage: Eukaryota; Metazoa; Chordata; Mammalia; Primates; Hominidae. The record is from RNAcentral.
UCAUAAGUCUUGUUGAUAGCCUGGGCCCUUGAUAUGAUGAGAAUUGCACUCUAUGCUCCAACAUGUCUGGCAGCAGGCUUUUCGUUGGAAACCUUAUAGGACAGAAGAGAGUUGCAUGACAAUAGCUCUAUUUAUAUCACACAAACACACAGCUAGUAUCAUACAGAAAUGUAUUUGUUGAAACGUACACCAAAAUAUUACUGAUGAUUGCCACUGCAUGAGGAGAUUCUUCAUAUAUUUCAUUUUCUUCACAAUUUGUUAGCAUAUUUUUAAUUUUUAAAAUGAUUUUAAAUUGGCAUGUAAUAAUUGUACGUAUUGUUGAAAACAGUGAUGUCUUAAAACAUAUAAUUUAUGGUGAUCAAUUUAGGGUAAUAAACACAUCGAUCACCUCAAACAUUUAUCAUUUCUUGUACUGGACACAUGAAAAAUCCUCUCUCCUAGCUAUUUGAAAAUAUAAAUUAAAUUACUUUUAACUAUAGCUAUUAUACAGUGCUAUAGGACACUAAAACUUAUUCCUCCUAUUUAACUGUAAUUUUGUAUCAUCUAACCAACCUCUC